Molecule: long non-coding RNA, 4128 nt
Organism: Triticum dicoccoides
Lineage: Eukaryota; Viridiplantae; Streptophyta; Magnoliopsida; Poales; Poaceae
Exons: 4
Source: RefSeq, a predicted model, not a curated record
GGACCCGUUCUUAGCCUAUUCCACGUUGCAUUCCUUAUGCUUCCCCGUCCAGCCGCCGCCACGACCGGUGCUCCCUGCCCAAUCCCAAGACCAGCCGUCGGCUCCGUUCCGCGGCCAGCCGCCGCCACGCUGGUCGCUUCCAGGCCAGUCUCCCGGUUAGCCGCCGCCACGCCCGAGGCUCUGCCGGCCAGCCGCCGUCGCCGCGAUCGACGCUCCUCCGCCGGUUGCCGGUGCCACGAACUGACGUACAGUACCAAAAUUUGAUUGAUUUAACACAUGCUCCUGCAAAUCUGAAUCCCCGCUCGAUUGAGUGAAAACAUGCAGGUCUUAAGAUUUCAUCAUAUCUCAUUUAGACUUGCGGUUGGCUAAUUCUUCACAUCCUCCAUGUUGAAGGCCCCCUGUAAUACAAUUUAUUUAUUCACCUAUUAACUUCAGAUUGUCUAAGCAUCCGUCAGAUUGGUAAAAGAUGCCAAGUGGCCUUUUUUAUUUUCAGGUUCUUGCUUGCUGGCAAGCACAUCAAUUAUUUGCUAAAAUGUCAUACUAAAAAAGGAUUCCUUCCGCUUGAAUUGUGGUCUCCACAACUAUCCUGCAAUAUUUGGAAUCAAUAACAUAUGCACGGAAAUAUUCACAUUAUAUGCUGAUGAACAUCAAAUUUCUCCUUCGUCCAUGGUGUUGUAAAUCAUGAAAAGAAAUAUUCAUGCAGCCAUAUCAACAGCCAACCGCCCCUCCUCAAAUCAUGUUGUAUUUAUUGACUUCUCACAUUUUAAGUCCACCAUUUUCUGGAAGCUAACAAUUUUCAUAUUAGUUUUAUGCCUGGAGCAAGUCAAGUCGAUUCUCUAAUCAUAACAUGCAUAUUUCAUGUCUUUCAGGUACUGUGACACUAGCUUUAUGCUGGGGAUAUGGAGUGCGCAUCCAGAAUUGACUAAAUUUCAUAGUCGAAGAAAAAGAGGGCGAUGGUUGGCAAGAAUGAUAAUAGUGUGGACUGAGUUAAGAGGGACUUGAUCAGUAUGAGAAAAACUAUUUCUUGAAUGUUGCUUUGGUAAUAUUUUGUUUGGGCGUAUAGUGAGCCCACUUAAGAAAUCAGCUUAUGUACUAACAAUAUGUGUAUUGUUCUCUUGCUUGCAUGUUCAGUUUCGCUUUAUUGGCUCCAAAUUUGUUAUCCAGAUGAAUACCUUAUUUAAGAUAAUAUGUGGCAUUUUUUUGAAGUUAUCAUGGACGACGUGUGUGUUGAAUGGUCGGAGAAUAUGUAUGUAGUUAAUGUUUUCCUUCUUGAAAGAAAAUGAAAUUUCGUUAACUAUUUCUUUGCACUUUGUAUACACCAUUUCGUUACAUGCUUCAUGUUUUUAAUUUUUUAAAUGAAUAAACUGAGGAAACUUUACAUUUGCUUUGCAUUGAUUUUAUUUCAUUUUGUAGCAGCUAUUUAUACAUUUAUUUAGCAAGGUUACCGCAGCAACGCGCGGGGUAUCAUCUAGUUUCUUUUAUUAGUAGGUAUAGAUAAUGCGGUGUUUUCACGUGCCUUUUGUGGUGUGAUUCUAUGUUAUAUGUUAAUCAACCCAUAACUAUAUGGAGAAAUUUCUACAUCGUUGGUUCCAUAAACUAUAUUGGUGCUACAGUAUCACAAGUUGAUGCCUUUUUUUAGGUGAUGAGAGGGUACGCGGAAUGACACGUUUUUAUAGGCUAGUUGUUGUCGAUUGAUUUGAGAAAUUGUUGACCCAGUCAAAAUGUGUGCCAAUUCAAAAAUCGAAUAUCUUACUCGAAUGAGAGAGCUUUAAAAUUAGGGCAUAGUUAAUUAAAAGAUUUGAAUUAGAGAGCUUCUUAAGAAUUUUUUGACUCAGCCAAAACAGAGUGACCCAAUGUAAGACCUCAACUGAAUGUGAUGUCUCGUGGUAGAAUUUUUUUAACUCCCUACUUGAAUUUUAAUUUCAGAUUCUAAAGAACUUUUUAUAACCAUUUCAUUAAAUUAGUGUACUUUGCUGGAAGGAGUGAAGAACUUCUCAUUUUUGCUGUAAAGGGCUAAAUAAACAGUAUCAGGAGUUGAAGAAUUUUCUUAUUAGUGGGUCUGCACUUUGUUAGAAAUAUUAAAGAAAAAACUUUGCUAGAAAAUGUAUUUGGAACAGAAGAACUUUAUAAACAACUUGUCUGAACAUUGAUGAAAGUUUAUGUAACUUGUUUUGAGCCAUGCACAGUUUAAUUUUAUCUGGGGCUCACAAUUUAAUUUGGAAUAUAUUGUACUAGUUUCGUAGGGCUGGCCGUGAGAAAUUCAAAUACAUAAACAAAUUUAAAUUUGCACAAAUUUAUUUAAAGGUUAUGGUGACAUAUUUGUUUAUUGUGUAAUUUGUGUCGAAGAGGUGAUAGCAUGGGGCCAUGGGCCAAGGGAAUCUAGUUCAAGAGGAAAGAGAGAAUACAUGCAAUACCCCGAAUAUCCGACAAUAUCCACGGUUGGUACAUACAAGAUCGACCAGAGAAGUUAAUCCAGCGAAAUCAUGAACCAAAUUAAUCCGACCAUGAAUCACUCUGCUCGGCAUCAGUGUAGCGGCCAGUACUUCAAAAUAAUUGUAGCUGUCAAUGCACACCUGACGACCGCUCGGCGUGGCUAUCUCAAGAACAAUCAACAAUGGGAAGGCAACAGGAAAUCAAUCAAUUAGCUACUCCCUCUGUAAACUAAUAUAAGAGCGUUUAGAUCACUAAAGUAGUACCCUCCAAUGUUAGGGUCACCUUGCUAAAGUAGUACGUACACCUUGCUCUGUACACUGAGCAAGGAGUACCUAUUUGAUUUCACAAACAUUGAUAUAUUUUUGCACAAACUCGGUCAAACUUUGAAAUAGUUUGACCCUCCAACAAAGUUGGAAGUACACUCUUUAAAGGACGGAGGGAGUACACUCUACCUGUAUCUGUAUGUAUUUUGGUCAUUCUCAGUUCGUUCAAAUUCAUUUCUGCAAUGCACAGUUAUGAUUGCGUUCAUAGUUCACAUGUAACGUCGCAAACAAUGUAUCAACAGAUUUAAACAUAGUUUUAUUUAUUUAUGUAGAGUUUAACUUCCGUGACGACUAUUCCUUAAAUUACAAGUUCUCACUUAGCUAUUACAAGUUUUUCUGACUAGCAUAACACUUAGAGUAUGUAAAUGAUUAUUUCUGCUCCUGGAAUCUUGUUUGUACUUCUUAUCUCCUUUUCUUCUUUGUCUUUGUAAAAUUCUACUUGCUUCUGAUUGCUUCAAUAACAUUCCUAUUCUUUAGUCCUCAACUAAUUUUUGAACUUCUCGAUUGUUCUGGAUCUGCAUUGUAUGGUCUAUCUAGAACCAUCUUGUCUCAUUUGGUUAUCUGUUGAUUCAUCAACUUCCUCCUUUCUGUAUCUGCAUUUUAAUAGAGAACUGAAGCUUGCAAUUGGUACUGAGAUGUUGUCAGUAUUAAGAUGGCUCAUUAGAGUCAUUUGUGGCACCUCCUUACUUGAGAUUGUGUGGUACUUACCCCACUUGUAGUUGCAAAUCUUGAUCUCCAAACUUUGCACCUUCUGUUUCCUGCAUUUUUUUAUCAUAAUGAAUAUACGAGUCAUAGUUUCAAUGCCAUUUGAUGCCCAAAAAAGAGGAAUGCAAUUGAAUUUUUUAUUAUUAUUUUGACGUCUACUAAUGUUGUUGUAAUAGUGUUGCAUACCUUGUUGUUAAUUACAAUAUGAUUUUCUAUCCCUUAAUGUCCUAGUUGCUCACUAUCCAUUUGUGCAACUUCUGAGACCUGCAAAUGCAAUUUUCCAAAAAUCUUAUUAUUCUCCAAUCACAACAAUUUUUAUAUUGACUUUCCAGUUUCUAGUAUUCCAUGUGUGUAAUUUUUGGCACCUGCAUAAGAAUUUCAUUGCAUUAGUAAUCUAUUUUUUUAGCUAAGAUAAUCUGAAGUUUUGGUCCCUUUGCUCCUGUAAAACAUUUGGAUUUGCUACUCAUGUAGCUUUUGUAGCUGACAUCGAUCUUGUGCAACUUUAGUACACUUCAUAUGGAAUUUUCACAUGAUGGCCAUAUAUGUUGGAUAGUUAAUCGGAGUAUUAAUGGUUGCAAUAGGGGCAAAAUGCCUUCAAUGCCAAGCUUUCUAGCAGUGUUUGUGAAUGAACUUUGAUUUAACCUUGUUGACAUUUUCAUUUACUCCC